RNAcentral lists this ribosomal RNA (487 nucleotides) under uncultured bacterium. RNAcentral describes it as "bacterial SSU rRNA". It matches the Rfam family "Bacterial small subunit ribosomal RNA", at positions 29 to 517 of the family's 1533-position model. The record is from RNAcentral.
AUUGAACGCUGGCGGCAUGCUUUACACAUGCAAGUCGAACGGCAGCACGGGGGCAACCCUGGUGGCGAGUGGCGAACGGGUGAGUAAUGCAUCGGAACGUACCCAGUCGUGGGGGAUAACGCAGCGAAAGUUGUGCUAAUACCGCAUACGACCUGAGGGUGAAAGCGGGGGACCGUAAGGCCUCGCGCGAUUGGAGCGGCCGAUGUCUGAUUAGCUAGUUGGCGGGGUAACGGCCCACCAAGGCGACGAUGUCUAGCUGGUCUGAGAGGAUGAUCAGCCACACUGGGACUGAGACACGGCCCAGACUCCUACGGGAGGCAGCAGUAGGGAAUAUUGGACAAUGGGGGGAACCCUGAUCCAGCCAUGCCGCGUGAGGGAAGAAGGUCCUCUGGAUUGUAAACCUCUUUUGGCAGGAACAAACCUGCGCUAUACGCGCAGCUGAGGGUACCUGCAGAAUAAGCACCGGCUAACUCCGUGCCAGCAGCCG